Molecule: long non-coding RNA, 1266 nt
Filed under: Solanum tuberosum (potato)
Lineage: Eukaryota; Viridiplantae; Streptophyta; Magnoliopsida; Solanales; Solanaceae
Description: long non-coding RNA (STUB_LNC002602)
Source: RNAcentral
UUCCGAUGUAUUGCGAGGAGGAAAGAGAGGUAUGUGGCUAAAAAACAAAAGAAUGUGGUAUGCUUGGUGUCUAGCAAUGGAGUGAGACUCCUCCUGAUCCCAUAUGUCAUGCAAAAUAGAGAAAAAUAAGAGGGAGAAGAACAUAGAUAGUAAAACAUAAUAGUCCCUUGACAACAGGCAACAAUAUAAAAUAACGAAACUAUCGAAAUUGACAUUAAAGAAGGGCUGAACAUAUGGCUUGAUUGGGACUCCUUUUAGUCCGAUUUUAAUGGUCUCUUUUCCUUCAAAUUGAUUUCUUGUGCUUCUUUGCCAAUAACUUGGAAAUAUAUAUAUAAAAUUAAUUAUAAUAAAUUUAGUCUCUAAAAUAUAUGAAAUACUAAUAAAACAAUUUUUAUAAUAAAAUUAGAAAGAAUAAUACAUCCAAAUUAUUAAUGACCAAGAAGCGUACAGAAAUUAAUCGCAGGAAAAAUAGGACAAAAUUGGGUGUCAACAACUUACCCCUCUUUGUCCGGAAAGGAUGAAAGAAUUUUUGGACAAAGAAGUUGACGUAGUAACUAAUUUUGUCCCGACCAAAAAAAAAAACCGGCUUCAGAAUGGGUUAGAGAAGGUAUUCAGUUGGACAAAUUAUGGGGUAGAAGAUCGGAAAAAGUCAAGGGAUUUAUAUGAAAUAGCUUGAAGAUUAUGACCGAACUCUAGUUUCGAGCACCUACAUAUCUUGGGUUACACGAGAAUCAGGUCACGUAUAGUUCAAAAGACAGAUAUUCAGAUUGACACAAUUUUAAUAAAAAUUACCCUAUUGUCAAAUAAGGGUGAUAUCAGACUAUGUGAAGAAGGAAGUUAAGGAGUUGACAACUCAAAAAAAUAAGCACAAUUUAGAUUUGAAUGGAUUUGAAUUACCUACACAUCUACAUAUUUGUAGAAAUGUAGUUUGGGAGUAGAUCUUCAACCUCUUGCUGACGAGCUUAAACUCAAACUUCAGCAAUUGCCCCAGUUCACUGGUUAGAUUAUGAUCCACGAGUUAAUGUGUGAUGCCAAUUUUGAUUUUGUCAUUUUUCGAAAUACCACCAGCUAAAACCAAUUGUUAAUGAUAAAGAAACGUAGAAAAAUAGGAUGAAAUAAAGGAAAUUUACACUUGUAUAUCGUGCUUAUUGAAGAAUUUUGAAUCCACAUCAUAGUUUCAAGAAGAAUUGAAUCCCCACUUUGUGAAAGAAACUCGAAGAAAAACUAAAUCCACAUUUGCGUUGACUUGAAUGAAAUCUAAAAUCC